This 403-nucleotide ribosomal RNA is filed under the name Fusobacteriota bacterium. Its description in RNAcentral is "Fusobacteria bacterium partial 16S ribosomal RNA". It matches the Rfam family "Bacterial small subunit ribosomal RNA", at positions 355 to 776 of the family's 1533-position model. The record is from RNAcentral. Lineage: Bacteria; Fusobacteriati; Fusobacteriota.
UGGGGAAUAUUGCACAAUGGAGGGAACUCUGAUGCAGCGACGCCGCGUGAACGAAGAAGGCUUUCGAGUCGUAAAGUUCUUUUAUAUGGGAAGAUAAUGACGGUACCAUAAGAAAAAGCCCCGGCUAACUACGUGCCAGCAGCCGCGGUAAUACGUAGGGGGCUAGCGUUGUCCGGAAUCACUGGGCGUAAAGGGUUCGCAGGCGGAAAUGCAAGUCAGGUGUAAAAGGCAGUAGCUUAACUACUGUAAGCAUUUGAAACUGCAUAUCUUGAGAAGAGUAGAGGUAAGUGGAAUUUUUAGUGUGGCGGUGAAAUGCGUAGAUAUUAAAAAGAAUACCGGUGGCGAAGGCGACUUACAGGGCUCAUUCUGACGCUGAGGAACGAAAGCGUGGGUAGCAAACAGG